ACUCCUACGGGAGGCAGCAGUGGGGAAUAUUGCACAAUGGGCGCAAGCCUGAUGCAGCCAUGCCGCGUGUAUGAAGAAGGCCUUCGGGUUGUAAAGUACUUUCAGCGGGGAGGAAGGCGAUAAGGUUAAUAACCUUGUCGAUUGACGUUACCCGCAGAAGAAGCACCGGCUAACUCCGUGCCAGCAGCCGCGGUAAUACGGAGGGUGCAAGCGUUAAUCGGAAUUACUGGGCGUAAAGCGCACGCAGGCGGUCUGUCAAGUCGGAUGUGAAAUCCCCGGGCUCAACCUGGGAACUGCAUUCGAAACUGGCAGGCUAGAGUCUUGUAGAGGGGGGUAGAAUUCCAGGUGUAGCGGUGAAAUGCGUAGAGAUCUGGAGGAAUACCGGUGGCGAAGGCGGCCCCCUGGACAAAGACUGACGCUCAGGUGCGAAAGCGUGGGGAGCAAACAGGAUUAGAUACCCUUGUAGUCCC
RNAcentral lists this ribosomal RNA (470 nucleotides) under uncultured organism. RNAcentral describes it as "partial 16S ribosomal RNA". It matches the Rfam family "Bacterial small subunit ribosomal RNA", at positions 335 to 797 of the family's 1533-position model. The record is from RNAcentral.